CCCAGGGAUGAGCCCGCGUAGGAUUAGCUAGUUGGUUGGGUAAAGGCUGACCAAGGCGACGAUCCUUAGCUGGUCUGAGAGGAUGAUCAGCCACACUGGGACUGAGACACGGCCCAGACUCCUACGGGAGGCAGCAGUAGGGAAUAUUGGACAAUGGGGGCAACCCUGAUCCAGCAAUGCCGCGUGAGUGAUGAAGGCCUUAGGGUUGUAAAGCUCUUUUACCCGGGAUGAUAAUGACAGUACCGGGAGAAUAAGCCVGRGCUAACUCCGUGCCAGCAGCCGCGGUAAUACGGAGGGGGCUAGCGUUGUUCGGAAUUACUGGGCGUAAAGCGCACGUAGGCGGCGAUUUAAGUCAGAGGUGAAAGCCCGGGGCUCAACCCCGGAAUAGCCUUUGAGACUGGAUUGCUUGAACAUCGGAGAGGUGAGUGGAAUUCCGAGUGUAGAGGUGAAAUUCGUAGAUAUUCGGAAGAACACCAGUGGCGAAGGCGGCUCACUGGACGAUUGUUG
This 507-nucleotide ribosomal RNA is filed under the name uncultured Sphingomonas sp. Its description in RNAcentral is "bacterial SSU rRNA". It matches the Rfam family "Bacterial small subunit ribosomal RNA", at positions 218 to 742 of the family's 1533-position model. The record is from RNAcentral. Lineage: Bacteria; Pseudomonadati; Pseudomonadota; Alphaproteobacteria; Sphingomonadales; Sphingomonadaceae.